GAGUUUGAUCGUGGCUCAGAUUGAACGCUGGCGGCAUGCCUUACACAUGCAAGUCGAACGGCAUCACGGGAGCUUGCUCCUGGUGGCGAGUGGCGAACGGGUGAGUAAUGCAUCGGAACGUAUCCUGGAGUGGGGGAUAACGUAGCGAAAGUUACGCUAAUACCGCAUAUUCUGUGAGCAGGAAAGCGGGGGACCUUCGGGCCUCGCGCUCUUGGAGCGGCCGAUGUCGGAUUAGCUAGUUGGUGAGGUAAAGGCUCACCAAGGCGACGAUCCGUAGCAGGUCUGAGAGGAUGAUCUGCCACACUGGAACUGAGACACGGUCCAGACUCCUACGGGAGGCAGCAGUGGGGAAUUUUGGACAAUGGGGGCAACCCUGAUCCAGCCAUGCCGCGUGAGUGAAGAAGGCC
This 407-nucleotide ribosomal RNA is filed under the name bacterium enrichment culture clone ALO1_GLFRUDD03G46T0. Its description in RNAcentral is "bacterial SSU rRNA". It matches the Rfam family "Bacterial small subunit ribosomal RNA", at positions 9 to 416 of the family's 1533-position model. The record is from RNAcentral. RNAcentral also lists the same sequence under 1 other name.